This 632-nucleotide ribosomal RNA is filed under the name uncultured bacterium. RNAcentral's name for it is "bacterial SSU rRNA". It matches the Rfam family "Bacterial small subunit ribosomal RNA", at positions 28 to 649 of the family's 1533-position model. The record is from RNAcentral.
AUUGAACGCUGGCGGCAGGCCUAACACAUGCAAGUCGAGCGGUAGCACAGAGAAGCUUGCUUCUUGGGUGACGAGCGGCGGACGGGUGAGUAACGCGUGGGAAUCUACCUGGUAGUGGGGGACAACAGUCGGAAACGACUGCUAAUACCGCAUACGCCCUUCGGGGGAAAGUGGGGGAUCUUCGGACCUCACGCUAUCAGAUGAGCCCGCGUCGGAUUAGCUUGUUGGUGAGGUAAAGGCUCACCAAGGCGAUGAUCCGUAGCUGGUCUGAGAGGAUGACCAGCCACACUGGGACUGAGACACGGCCCAGACUCCUACGGGAGGCAGCAGUGGGGAAUAUUGGACAAUGGGGGCAACCCUGAUCCAGCCAUGCCGCGUGUGUGAAGAAGGCCUUCGGGUUGUAAAGCACUUUCAGCUGUGAGGAAAGGCGAGUGGUUAAUACCCGCUUGCUGUGACGUUAACAGCAGAAGAAGGACCGGCUAACUCCGUGCCAGCAGCCGCGGUAAUACGGAGGGUCCGAGCGUUAAUCGGAAUUACUGGGCGUAAAGCGCGCGUAGGUGGUUCAGUCAGUCAGAUGUGAAAGCCCCGGGCUCAACCUGGGAACUGCACCUGAUACUGCUGAGCUAGAGUAC